CCUACGGGAGGCAGCAGUGGGGAAUAUUGCACAAUGGGCGCAAGCCUGAUGCAGCCAUGCCGCGUGUAGGAAGAAGGCCCUCCGGUUGUAAAGCACUUUCAGCGAGGAGGAAGGGUGUAAAGUGAAUACCUUUGUGCAUUGACGUUACCCGCAGAAGACGCACCGGCUAACGCCGUGCCAGCAGCCGCGGUAAUACGGAGGGUGCUAGCGUUAAUCGGUAUUACUGGGCGUAAAGCGCACGCAGUCGUUCUGUUAAGUCAGAUGUGAAAUCCCCGGGCUCAACCUGGGAACUGCAUCUGAUACUGGCAGGCUUGAGUAUUGUAGAGGGGGGUAGAAUUCCAGGUGUAGCGGUGAAAUGCGUAGAGAUCUGGAGGAAUACCGGUGGCGAAGGCGGCCCCCUGAACGAAGACUGACGCUCAGGUGCGAAAGCGUGGGGAGCAAACAGGAUUAGAUACCCCAGUAGUC
This 465-nucleotide ribosomal RNA is filed under the name uncultured bacterium. Its description in RNAcentral is "partial 16S ribosomal RNA". It matches the Rfam family "Bacterial small subunit ribosomal RNA", at positions 338 to 795 of the family's 1533-position model. The record is from RNAcentral.